UUAUUGGAGAGUUUGAUCCUGGCUCAGGACGAACGCUGGCGGCAUGCCUAAUACAUGCAAGUCGAGCGGAGUUGAUAGGAAGCUUGCUUCCUUGAUACUUAGCGGCGGACGGGUGAGUAACACGUAGGCAACCUGCCCUCAAGUUUGGGACAACUACCGGAAACGGUAGCUAAUACCGAAUAGUUGUUUUCUU
RNAcentral lists this ribosomal RNA (193 nucleotides) under Paenibacillus sp. 2003. Its description in RNAcentral is "partial 16S ribosomal RNA". It matches the Rfam family "Bacterial small subunit ribosomal RNA", at positions 1 to 186 of the family's 1533-position model. The record is from RNAcentral. Lineage: Bacteria; Bacillati; Bacillota; Bacilli; Caryophanales; Paenibacillaceae.